GGGGUUGUGGCUCAGUGGUAGAGCGCUUGUCUAGCAUGCGUGAGGUGCUGGGUUCAACCCCCCAGCACCA
Molecule: transfer RNA, 70 nt
Filed under: Ictidomys tridecemlineatus (thirteen-lined ground squirrel)
Lineage: Eukaryota; Metazoa; Chordata; Mammalia; Rodentia; Sciuridae
Description: Spermophilus tridecemlineatus (thirteen-lined ground squirrel) tRNA
Rfam family: tRNA
About the family: Transfer RNA (tRNA) molecules are approximately 80 nucleotides in length. Their secondary structure includes four short double-helical elements and three loops (D, anti-codon, and T loops).
Source: Rfam by way of RNAcentral